Non-coding RNA from Myotis lucifugus (little brown bat), 71 nucleotides. The record is from Rfam. Lineage: Eukaryota; Metazoa; Chordata; Mammalia; Chiroptera; Vespertilionidae.
GCCAGCGUGGCUCAGUGGUGGAGCAUCGACCUGUGAACUGGGAGGUCAGGGUUCGAUUCCCGGUUGGGGCA